GUCGAACGGUAACGACACUAGCUUGCUAGUGGGCGACGAGUGGCGGACGGGUGAGUAACGCGUAGGAAUCUACCUAUCAGUGGGGGAUAGCCAAGGGAAACUUUGGGUAAUACCGUAUACGAUCUAAGGAUGAAAGGGGGCCUCUCUUUGAAGCUCUCGCUGAUAGAUGAGCCUGCGUAAGAUUAGCUUGUUGGUGAGGUAAUGGCUCACCAAGGCGACGAUCUUUAGCUGGUCUGAGAGGAUGAUCAGUCACACUGGAACUGAGACACGGUCCAGACUCCUACGGGAGGCAGCAGUCGGGAAUAUUGGACAAUGGGGGAAACCCUGAUCCAGCCAUGCCGCGUGUGUGAAGAAGGCCCUAGGGUUGUAAAGCACUUUUAGUAGUGAGGAAGGCUCAGUAGUUAAUACCUACUGGGAUUGACGUUAGCUACAGAAAAAGCACCGGCUAAUUUCGUGCCAGCAGCCGCGGUAAUACGAAAGGUGCAAGCGUUAAUCGGAAUUACUGGGCGUAAAGCGCGCGUAGGCGGCUUGGUAAGUUGGAUGUGAAAGCCCCGGGCUCAACCUGGGAACUGCAUCCAAAACUGCCAAGCUAGAGUAUGGUAGAGGAUGGCGGAAUUUCCUGUGUAGCGGUGAAAUGCGUAGAUAUAGGAAGGAACAUCAGUGGCGAAGGCGGCCAUCUGGACCAAUACUGACACUGA
Molecule: ribosomal RNA, 698 nt
Filed under: uncultured Gammaproteobacteria bacterium
Lineage: Bacteria; Pseudomonadati; Pseudomonadota; Gammaproteobacteria
Description: bacterial SSU rRNA
Rfam family: Bacterial small subunit ribosomal RNA
Source: RNAcentral